UAAACACUUCCAGUUUGAAUGGGCUCCCCGCGGCUGGCGACCGGUUCGGCUGCACCGCCGCCGCUCCCUCUGGCCGGCGAAGCCACCCCCUUCCCUUCCCGAAUCAUAUCCACCCAUUCUAGCCGCCACAGCCUGAUCUACCCUUUCCCCCGGUCCGGUUCGUCCGCGCGGCUCUCUUGGAGCUCGGAUGAAGAGGAGGACGAGGCGGUGCUGGGGACCCCGCCGUCUCUCCACAUCCGGGGGCCUGCCGCCCCGAUUCGCGUUCAAGACCUGGACCGGCGUGCCCAGGACGGUCGUAUUGAUGCCGCCAUCAUCUCCCAGCGCUGCGCGCUGCCUCUGGGAUGCUGACGGCGCAACCCCAGAUCUCCAUCAGCAGCUCGCGGCCGCUCCGGGGAUCCUCCUCCACCUUGAUACGGUGGAGGAUCUGCGUGGCCUCGGCGACGGGGCUGGGGAGGGCAGGCGUGAGGGCGAGCUGUGGACCACCACCGUCGAUUGGUUCCGGAUGGCACUCCCGCUGAUUCCUCUCUGCCAGAUCCACAUCAGGGGGAUGCCAGGGAGGUGCUCCGCGCGCGUCGUGGUGGAAGCCGUCACGAUGCUGGCCGCUCCGCUGCACGCCACAGGGGCCGCAACCGCAGCCAAGGAGGCAAGAGCUCGUGCCCGGAGGAGCCUUCCCGGCGCGAAAACGGCGACGACGAGGCUGCUGGCCGCCGCCAGGACGACCGUGGUCUGGUUCCGAAGCGGGUCGACCGCCAUCGCGGGACGACAGACACACCAUAUCGCCGCCGCGAGCAUGGUCAGAACCGUGGCAUGCGCUCCAACCGCCGUUCGCGCACCCGAUCCUCUCCUCACUGCGACUGCGAGUACCGGCCUGUCAAGUCCACCGCGCCCGCCGUCUCUGCUCGCGGGAUUACGAGCCCGCCGGCGCUAUGCUCGCCGUCGUUGCCUCUUGUGUUGUCGUUGUGGCGGAACCGCCUGCUCGUCUCGCGGCCAUGGAGUCUGCGGCUCUGGGAAACUACUUCCCUUCCCUCUGCUGACUGUAACCUGUCUGUCUGUGGCUGUUUGUAGCCUGAAUGAAGAAUGAUAC
Molecule: ribosomal RNA, 1084 nt
Filed under: Triticum aestivum (bread wheat)
Lineage: Eukaryota; Viridiplantae; Streptophyta; Magnoliopsida; Poales; Poaceae
Description: partial small subunit ribosomal RNA
Source: RNAcentral